GACGAACGCUGGCGGCGUGCUUAACACAUGCAAGUCGAACGGAAAGGCCCUGCUUGCAGGGUACUCGAGUGGCGAACGGGUGAGUAACACGUGGGUGAUCUGCCCUGCACUUCGGGAUAAGCCUGGGAAACUGGGUCUAAUACCGGAUAGGAGCCAUUUUUAGUGUGAUGGUUGGAAAGUUUUUUCGGUGUAGGAUGAGCUCGCGGCCUAUCAGCUUGUUGGUGGGGUAAUGGCCUACCAAGGCGGCUACGGGUAGCCGGCCUGAGAGGGUGGACGGCCACACUGGGACUGAGAGACGGCCCAGACUCCUACGGGAGGCAGCAGUGGGGAAGAUUGCACAAUGGGCGCAAGCCUGAUGCAGCGACGCCGCGUGGGGGAUGACGGCCUUCGGGUUGUAAACUACUUUCGCUAGGGACGAAGCUUUUUGUGACGGUACCUAGAUAAGAAGCACCGGCUAACUACGUG
Molecule: ribosomal RNA, 465 nt
Filed under: uncultured bacterium
Lineage: Bacteria
Description: partial 16S ribosomal RNA
Rfam family: Bacterial small subunit ribosomal RNA
Source: RNAcentral